AACUUCAUUCUGAUUGGCUGUUGACAGAGGAGAGUUAGAUGCAAAAGAGUUAGCCGACAGAAACCAAUAGCUGAUGCUUAUUGUUGUUCGGAGUACGUUAGGUGCUUAAUGAGCUUUCCGGGGUGCAGUCCUGGGUGCAGAUCUCAUAUUCUUCAGGAGAGUGAGUUGUAGUUCUUCGGAGUUCGGAGUUACAGAGUCUGUUUCGCAGUCAAGAGUCAGGUGUAGUUCUUCGGAGUCAGGUUAGGUUCUUCACAGUCAGUUUACUUUAUUCUGCAGUCAGGAGUUAAAGAGUCUGUUUCACAGUCCUGAGGGAGGUUACGCAAUUAAGUUCUCGUUCAUCUAAACAAACUUGUGGUAGAGAAUAAGCAAGGUCAAUCAAGAAAUCCAAUAAAUACGAAAGUGUUUGGUUAGGCCCAACUUAACUAAAGAAUACGGCGCUAAGAGAGUUUGCCGUUGUGCACUUGAGUGGGCUUGGUGCAGUUAGGUUAGGGAUAGCAUAGAGAACAAGAAAAAGUCAUAAUUCUUUACGCAGAGCUAGUGGGCAAGCAAAGCGGGAGGGAAAAGUAUAGUUAUUCUAAAUAAUGAAGUACAGGUGCACGAACGGGAGCAGCUAUCGGGUCCGUUUCCGUUUCAUCAGUUGGUGUUAUCGAUGAGUCUGUUCGUCCAGGUUCUACUUUGAUCCUAUUGAAGAGUAGAAAAUAUGCUCUUUUCUCCGGCAAAUAGAAGAUAUACUCUUUUCUUUCUCUUGCCCAUCUAAACUGCCC
Molecule: long non-coding RNA, 764 nt
Filed under: Musa acuminata (dwarf banana)
Lineage: Eukaryota; Viridiplantae; Streptophyta; Magnoliopsida; Zingiberales; Musaceae
Description: long non-coding RNA (MACU_LNC008202)
Source: RNAcentral